AUGAUCGGCCGUUUUUCCAUCCGGCCUUCGGCGCU
Molecule: small RNA, 35 nt
Filed under: Sinorhizobium meliloti 2011
Lineage: Bacteria; Pseudomonadati; Pseudomonadota; Alphaproteobacteria; Hyphomicrobiales; Rhizobiaceae
Description: putative ncRNA
Source: RNAcentral